AUGACGCUUUCAACUGAAUGUGUCUAACAUUCAACAAGGAAAGUGGGUUGGACCAUGUCUCAAAAUAUACAAUAUCAUCAAAGAAAGUUGAAGCCUCAAGCUCACUUCAAUCGGACAUGGCUCAGUAUAGGAGGAAGAUGAGAAUUCCAGAUUGAAUCUCUGCUGCCAUCAAAUCACAUUACGUCGACAAAAGAAUUGUUGGAUGCCUUGGUGGUGAAUAUGGUGAGUUUAGUUGUUUUGUUAUCCAAAUUAGACUGUA
Molecule: long non-coding RNA, 259 nt
Organism: Impatiens glandulifera
Lineage: Eukaryota; Viridiplantae; Streptophyta; Magnoliopsida; Ericales; Balsaminaceae
Exons: 3
Source: RefSeq, a predicted model, not a curated record